RNAcentral lists this transfer RNA (60 nucleotides) under Vertigo pusilla. RNAcentral's name for it is "tRNA-Gln". Lineage: Eukaryota; Metazoa; Mollusca; Gastropoda; Stylommatophora; Vertiginidae. The record is from RNAcentral.
UUUUUAUCGGUGUUAGGCACAAGAGCAUUUGAGGCUUUAAGAAAGAAAUCUUAUAAAAAU